GACGAACGCUGGCGGCGUGGAUUAGGCAUGCAAGUCGAACGGUAUCAUCCUUUCGGGGGUGAGAGAGUGGCGAACUGGUGAGUAACACGUAGGUUAUCUACCCUCAAGACGGGGACAACCCAGGGAAACUUGGGCUAAUACCGGAUGUGAGCAACUUUUAGUUGUUUGAAAGGUGGCGUAAGCUGUCGCUUGGGGAUGAGCCUGCGUCCUAUUAGUUAGUUGGUGAGGUAACGGCUCACCUAGGCAAUGAUAGGUAGGCGGCCUUAACGGGUGGUCGCCCACACUGGGAUUGAGAUACGGCCCAGACUCCUACGGGAGGCAGCAGUCGAGAAUAGUCUACAAUGGUCGGAAGACUGAUAGUGCGACGCCGCGUGAACGAUGAAUCCCUCGGGGUGUAAAGUUCUUUUAUAUGUGAGCAGUGCUUCUUAUAUUAACAGUAUGGGGAGAGAGAUAUUAGCAUAUGAAUAAGCAACGGCUAACUCCGUGCCAGCAGCCGCGGUAAA
Molecule: ribosomal RNA, 503 nt
Filed under: uncultured bacterium
Lineage: Bacteria
Description: bacterial SSU rRNA
Rfam family: Bacterial small subunit ribosomal RNA
Source: RNAcentral